UACGUAGGGGGCAAGCGUUGUCCGGAAUCACUGGGUGUGAAGCGCACGUAGGCGGCUUGGUAAGUCUGAGGUGAAAUCCACGAGCUCAACUCGUGAACUGCCUUGGAAACUGCCGAGCUAGAGGUCCAGAGGGGAAAGUGGAAUUUCGGGUGUAGCGGUGAAAUGCGUAGAUAUCCGAGAGAACACCAAUGGCGAAGGCAGCUUUCUGGCUGGUUCCUGACGCUGAGGUGCGAAAGCUAGGGUAGCGAACGGG
This 253-nucleotide unclassified non-coding RNA is filed under the name uncultured bacterium. Its description in RNAcentral is "contains 16S-23S intergenic spacer region". It matches the Rfam family "Bacterial small subunit ribosomal RNA", at positions 524 to 776 of the family's 1533-position model. The record is from RNAcentral.